Molecule: non-coding RNA, 1118 nt
Organism: Macaca mulatta (Rhesus monkey)
Lineage: Eukaryota; Metazoa; Chordata; Mammalia; Primates; Cercopithecidae
Source: RefSeq, a predicted model, not a curated record
AAAAAAAAGUAUCCAAAACAUGAAAACGAUGCAAAAAGUCGGCUGUCUAAUGAGUUCAUUCAAUUAUUUAACUUAAUGAUAACAAAACAUUAAUUAUCCAGGGGAUGUACCUUUGUUUGAUUUGCUAUUUGCUAUUAUUAAGGCUCAAGCUCUGUGAAGUUGCAAAUUAACUUGUAAACUUCUGAGUUGUGGAUAUGCAUGAUGCUGCUUGGGUUCUCCAUGAUCCUGACUGAAAUGGAGAUGCACCUACAUGAGUCUCUUUAGAGGGUACUCUUGGGGUCACCAUGUGUGUAAAGGAAGAGAAAGAAGAAGAAUUGGACAGAAGAAGUUGAGCUCAGAUGCUGGGCAACAUGUAGGAAUUUGUGAGUAGCUCCGCGUGGCCCUUGUGGCUUGGGGAUCUCCCAUGAGGUUGCCGACAGAGGUCAGCCAGGACUACCGCCAUCGGAAGCCUUGGCUGGGGCUGGAGGAUCCAUGUGAACAGUCUAGAGAGCAGUCACAACACAGCUGCUGGUGCGAGGCUGCAAUUCCUCUCCAUACCAUCAUCAUCUCCUCAGAGCUCUUUGAGUGUACUUAUAGCAUGGCCGCUGACUUCCUCCAGAGCAGGUGAUCCAAGCCAUCAGUGUGGAAUUUACAAGACCUUUCACAAUCUAGUUUCAUAAAUCACACACCACCUCUUCCACCAUAUUCUGUUGGAUGCAUGUGCAGACCAGCUCUGAUUUCAUGUUAGGAAGAGACUGCAAAAGGGCAUGAAUGGCAGAGGGCAAGGACACCUGCGGGCAGGUGGCAUCUUGGAAGCUACCGAGACUACCACAACCAGCUCAUAAUUUAUCUAUUGUUUUUCUAAUGUCUGUCCUUUUUCCCCCAUCAACUCCUGUUGUCACUUCCAUUUCUGCCAGUUUGGUAGCCUUGGUCCAUUAGCUCUUACGGCUCUUUUACUUCCUGAUUUAGGGUUCAUCUCCUCCUUCCUCUGAGAGUUAAAAAUAAAUUAUACACUUGGUAAUCAUAAAAUGGAGAUUUCACACCCACCUCCAUACAACUGUUGUGUAAUAAAUGUGCAUAACUUGCCUCCUGCAGCACCUGGCUCAAAUUAGGUGUACAAUAAAUGUUAAUGGCUCUGA